Acanthosepion pharaonis is the source of this 113-nucleotide non-coding RNA. NCBI's taxonomy places the organism in Eukaryota, Metazoa, Mollusca, Cephalopoda, Sepiida, Sepiidae. The record is from the annotation of a GenBank genome assembly.
UAUGGCCACAUCACUUUGAAACACUGCUACCCAUACAAUCACUGAAGUUAAGCAACAUUGAGCCUAGUCAGUAACAUGAUGGGUGACUGCUUGGGAAUACCAGGUUCUGUAAG